Long non-coding RNA from Balaenoptera acutorostrata (minke whale), 1541 nucleotides. RefSeq lists it as uncharacterized. The record is from RefSeq and is a predicted model, not a curated record. The transcript has 3 exons. NCBI's taxonomy places the organism in Eukaryota, Metazoa, Chordata, Mammalia, Artiodactyla, Balaenopteridae.
CCUGCUAAGCCUGCCUGCUGGUGCCCGCCUCGCCGCCUCCUGCAGCCCCAUCCCGAGAUGGGCCAGCUCCUGUCAGGGGACAUUGAGAGCCAAGAGCUGUCCCUUAGAGGUUACGAAUAAUCAGGCAACGACUAUUUCUCAACAUGUCUCUGAGUGCACAUAUGGGGGUUAAAUUCCUGAAAGUAACAUUGCUGGGUAAAAGCUCAGGCUUGACUCCACGAGAGAACAGAAGCUUGCAGAUGCCCAUGAAUCACUGGCGACGGAGAACCGGAAAUGGAGGCUCUGCGCUGGAGUAUUUUGUUAGUAACUCAGCUCACACCAGCCAGGUGGCCAACAGGAUGAGAUGUUCUGAAUGGUGAAUGAUCCUUGGUAAAGUUCUAACGGAGACAAAGCCACAUCUUCCUGAAGACUGCAUGGUAGUUUUAUUCCUGGGAAAUUCUAUAGAUUAUCAAUAUAAAACCAUUUAGAAAGAUAUGGGUGAAAUAGAGCUGGCUUCGAGGUCGGAUAAUCAUCAACAGAUUUCUCGAAUCCGCAGAUGUGGAACCCGCGGAUACAGAGGGCCGACUGUAUUCACUGUACUAGGCCAUUUUAUAUAAGGGACUUGAGCAUCCCUGGAUUUUGGUAUCUGCAGGGGCUCCUGGAACCGAUCCCCCGUGAAUACCAAGGGACGACUGUAUGUGGUUGUCCAGAAAGACAGAGGAAAGCCGUGAGGUGUACGGGGAUAAAUCCCUGUUAAUGUCAGACUGUCCUACACUUUAUAGGACAUUGAGCAUCCCUGCCCUGACUUCUGUCAAAUGCCAGGGGCUCUGAUCUUGUGACAAUCACAAAUGGCCUCAUAAAUUCCCCAAAUUUCCCCUAGGGGGCGGUAGAGCUCAGAUCGAGAACAACUGCCCGGCAUAUUCCCCAUCGCCCCGCUGUUUAAUUUAACACUUACCUUUGAGGUUGUUUUACACUCGGAGGUGGAAGUCAGCAUCCCUUUCAAGGUGGUAUUUGUUACAUAGGGAUAUUGUCAGGCAGUCCCUUUGCAUGGCAUUCUGCUGUUACAGGGCUACGGUAAGGGCGAGUCAUUUCGCACAUGAGCAAGCCAAUCAGGGAGGAAUGCUUACAAGUGGCCUGGCUGAGUCACAGGGUUGGGCAUUUGGAAUUUUGAUAGCUAUGGCCCAAAACUGCCUUCCUCGGGGGUAGAUUAAUCCACACUCCCCAGCAGAGUAAGAGUUCCAGGCAUCCGGCUGGGGGUUGGGGGGAAGGCAGUUCUGCAGUCUUAGCCAGGACCCUUCACCUCUGGAGGCCACCUCCUCAGACCGCACCCAGGGUGCUCCCAAUGAAGACUUGGGUGUCCAGAAACUUCCCAGUUCAUCUUCUCAAGCUAGGCAGGGGCUGGGGGGAGACAAGAGAGGCCUUUCCCUGGGUGGGCUGAUUCUAGCUAUUACAUUUAUUUCUUUUUUUUAACCUUCAAAAAAAAUAAUACAGGGACCUCCCUGGUGGUCCAGUGGGUAAGACUUCGUGCUCCCAAUGCAGGGAGCCCAGGUUCGAUCCUUGGU